GGAUGUGAGGGCAAUCUGACUACUGCAUCUGCCACCCCGUUGGUGACCAGGGUUAAUUCAGCUGAUGUGUGUGGGAGUGAGUGUUCCACUGUGCGCCUCUCCCAAAGCUGUGCACCCACGCUCGCUGAAGAGGACGACACCUGAGCUAGGUCAGUGGUAGAGGAGUAGCUGUACUCCCCGCUAGAACUUCCAGACAAACUCAAGAAAGAAAAAAAAAACUGGUGAAAUAAAAAUUGAAAACUUAUCUGCUGAUGAGGUGGCACAAACCCAUAAUCCCAGC
RNAcentral lists this small RNA (280 nucleotides) under Octodon degus (degu). Its description in RNAcentral is "7SK RNA (ENSODEG00000025636.1)". Lineage: Eukaryota; Metazoa; Chordata; Mammalia; Rodentia; Octodontidae. The record is from RNAcentral.